This 497-nucleotide ribosomal RNA is filed under the name uncultured bacterium. RNAcentral's name for it is "partial 16S ribosomal RNA". It matches the Rfam family "Bacterial small subunit ribosomal RNA", at positions 28 to 507 of the family's 1533-position model. The record is from RNAcentral.
GAUGAACGCUGGCGGCGUGCCUAAUACAUGCAAGUCGAGCGAACAGACGAGGAGCUUGCUCCUCUGACGUUAGCGGCGGACGGGUGAGUAACACGUGGAUAACCUACCUAUAAGACUGGGAUAACUUCGGGAAACCGGAGCUAAUACCGGAUAAUAUAUUGAACCGCAUGGUUCAAUAGUGAAAGACGGUUUUGCUGUCACUUAUAGAUGGAUCCGCGCCGCAUUAGCUAGUUGGUAAGGUAACGGCUUACCAAGGCGACGAUGCGUAGCCGACCUGAGAGGGUGAUCGGCCACACUGGAACUGAGACACGGUCCAGACUCCUACGGGAGGCAGAAGUAGGGAAUCUUCCGCAAUGGGCGAAAGCCUGACGGAGCAACGCCGCGUGAGUGAUGAAGGUCUUCGGAUCGUAAAACUCUGUUAUUAGGGAAGAACAAAUGUGUAAGUAACUAUGCACGUCUUGACGGUACCUAAUCAGAAAGACACGGCUAACUACGUG